RNAcentral lists this ribosomal RNA (301 nucleotides) under uncultured bacterium. RNAcentral describes it as "partial 16S ribosomal RNA". It matches the Rfam family "Bacterial small subunit ribosomal RNA", at positions 509 to 807 of the family's 1533-position model. The record is from RNAcentral.
CAGUCGCCGCGGUAAUACAAAGGGUGCGAGCGUUAAUCGGAUUUACUGGGCGUAAAGCGUGCGUAGGCGGCUUCUUAAGUCGGAUGUGAAAUCCCUGAGCUUAACUUAGGAAUUGCAUUCGAUACUGGGAAGCUAGAGUAUGGGAGAGGAUGGUAGAAUUCCAGGUGUAGCGGUGAAAUGCGUAGAGAUCUGGAGGAAUACCGAUGGCGAAGGCAGCCAUCUGGCCUAAUACUGACGCUGAGGUACGAAAGCAUGGGGAGCAAACAGGAUUAGAUACCCGUGUAGUCCCUGUCUCUUAUAC